UUUGUUACAGCAGACUAAGCUAAGACACCUAGAUUUUCCUCACGGGUUCCUAUCUUCAAAGACAGCCCAGUACUAGAAAACCAGAACAUCAUCUAAAUUGCACCGGCGAAGUAUAGGUGCCCAAGACAGUGCCAGUGGAAUGAGGCCAUGUGGACCAGUCAAAAGUACAAAACGAAUGACCCCUCUUCAGUAGUUAGCAGGAGUAAAACCCUCCAGUUGGGACAUACUUGGUUCCAGUGAACUUACACCGGAGGUUGGGGAGGUUGGGGCAUGUUUCAAACCGAACAAUGCUCUUUACAAAUAAAGCACUUGAACCAUCA
Leopardus geoffroyi (Geoffroy's cat) is the source of this 320-nucleotide long non-coding RNA. RefSeq lists it as uncharacterized. The transcript has 2 exons. The record is from RefSeq and is a predicted model, not a curated record. NCBI's taxonomy places the organism in Eukaryota, Metazoa, Chordata, Mammalia, Carnivora, Felidae.